RNAcentral lists this ribosomal RNA (705 nucleotides) under Acarospora intermedia. RNAcentral's name for it is "partial large subunit ribosomal RNA". It matches the Rfam family "Eukaryotic large subunit ribosomal RNA", at positions 376 to 1409 of the family's 3401-position model. The record is from RNAcentral. Lineage: Eukaryota; Fungi; Ascomycota; Lecanoromycetes; Acarosporales; Acarosporaceae.
UUGGAAAGAGAGUCAAACAGUACGUGAAAUUGUUGAAAGGGAAGCGCUUGCAACCAGACUUGCCCGCGGGUGAUCAGCCGGUAUUCUUACCGGUGCACUCGCCCGUGGUCAGGCCAGCAUCGGUUCGGGCGGCUGGAUAAAGUCCACUGGAAUGUAGCUCCCUUCGGGGAGUGUUAUAGCCAGAGGUGCCAUGCAGCCCGCCCGGACCGAGGACCGCGCUUCGGCUAGGAUGCUGGCGUAAUGGUUGCAAGCGACCCGUCUUGAAACACGGACCAAGGAGUCUAACAUCUAUGCGAGUGUUUGGGUGUCAAACCCAUGCGCGUAAUGAAAGUGAACGGAGGUGGGAACCCUUAAGGGUGCACCAUCGACCGAUCCUGAUGUCUUCGGAUGGAUUUGAGUAAGAGCAUAGCUGUUGGGACCCGAAAGAUGGUGAACUAUGCCUGAAUAGGGUGAAGCCAGAGGAAACUCUGGUGGAGGCUCGCAGCGGUUCUGACGUGCAAAUCGAUCGUCAAAUUUGGGUAUAGGGGCGAAAGACUAAUCGAACCAUCUGCUACUAGAUGGCAUACCGGGCCGCGCGCCCCAGUAGUCCCCGCGUGGCGGGGGCAACAUCGCCGGUCUCUCCGGGGACGCCUCUGGGCUACCCGCAGUGAGCCUUGGGCUCAUUCACAGAUUGCGGUGGCUGUGCCCUGGAGCACGGUUAGGAUA